This 252-nucleotide ribosomal RNA is filed under the name uncultured bacterium. RNAcentral's name for it is "partial 16S ribosomal RNA". It matches the Rfam family "Bacterial small subunit ribosomal RNA", at positions 524 to 776 of the family's 1533-position model. The record is from RNAcentral.
UACGUAGGCAGCAAGCGUUGUUCGGAAUUACUGGGCGUAAAGAGUGUGUAGGCGGUGUUCUAAGUCUGUUGUGAAAUCUCCCGGCUUAACUGGGAGGGUGCGGCGGAAACUGGAAUGCUAGAGGAUGGGAGAGGUAAGCGGAAUUCCUGGUGUAGCGGUGAAAUGCGUAGAUAUCAGGAGGAACACCUGUGGUGUAGACAGCUUACUGGACCAUUCUGACGCUGAGACACGAAAGCGUGGGUAGCAAACAGG